RNAcentral lists this transfer RNA (97 nucleotides) under Streptomyces sp. NE5-10. RNAcentral describes it as "tRNA-Ala". Lineage: Bacteria; Bacillati; Actinomycetota; Actinomycetes; Kitasatosporales; Streptomycetaceae. The record is from RNAcentral.
GUGCAGCUGGUCGGGGCGCUGCCGCGCUGGCUGCCGCCGGCGGCGGCGGGCCUGCUGCUGCUCGCGGUGGGGGCGACGUACGAGCGGCGGCUGCGCG